CAAGGGAUGGUGUAGCGGUAAGGACUUGGUACCAAGGAAUUUGCUCCCCUGUGGUCUCGGGUUCGAGUCCCGAUUGCUCCCUUGA
This is a non-coding RNA of Dovyalis caffra, 85 nucleotides long. Lineage: Eukaryota; Viridiplantae; Streptophyta; Magnoliopsida; Malpighiales; Salicaceae. The record is from the annotation of a GenBank genome assembly.